Molecule: ribosomal RNA, 440 nt
Filed under: uncultured bacterium
Lineage: Bacteria
Description: partial 16S ribosomal RNA
Rfam family: Bacterial small subunit ribosomal RNA
Source: RNAcentral
CCUACGGGAGGUAGCAGUGGGGGAUAUUGCACAAUGGGCGCAAGUCUGAUGCAGCGACGCCGCGUGAGCGAAGACGUUUUUCGGUUUGUAAAGCUCUAUCAGCAGGGAAGAAAAUGACGGUACCUGACUAAGACGCUCCGGCUAAAUACGUGCCAGCAGCCGCGGUAAUAUGUAUGGAGCAAGCGUUAUCCGGAUUUACUGGGUGGAAAGGGAGCGUAGGCGGCCCUGUAAAUCUGAUGUGAAAAUUUCGGGCUUAACCCCAAACGUGCAUUGGAAACUGCAGGGCUUGAGUGCAGGAGAGGCAGGCGGAAUUCCUAGUGUAGCGGUGAAAUGCGUAGAUAUUAGGAGGAACACCAGUGGCGAAGGCGGCCUGCUGGACGGUAACUGACGCUGAGGCUCGAAAGCGUGGGGAGCAAACAGGAUUAGAUACCCCUGUAGUC